Molecule: ribosomal RNA, 874 nt
Filed under: Bacillus paralicheniformis
Lineage: Bacteria; Bacillati; Bacillota; Bacilli; Caryophanales; Bacillaceae
Description: bacterial SSU rRNA
Rfam family: Bacterial small subunit ribosomal RNA
Source: RNAcentral
AGCUUGCUCCCUGAUGUUAGCGGCGGACGGGUGAGUAACACGUGGGUAACCUGCCUGUAAGACUGGGAUAACUCCGGGAAACCGGGGCUAAUACCGGAUGCUUGAUUGAACCGCAUGGUUCAAUUAUAAAAGGUGGCUUUUAGCUACCACUUACAGAUGGACCCGCGGCGCAUUAGCUAGUUGGUGAGGUAACGGCUCACCAAGGCAACGAUGCGUAGCCGACCUGAGAGGGUGAUCGGCCACACUGGGACUGAGACACGGCCCAGACUCCUACGGGAGGCAGCAGUAGGGAAUCUUCCGCAAUGGACGAAAGUCUGACGGAGCAACGCCGCGUGAGUGAUGAAGGUUUUCGGAUCGUAAAACUCUGUUGUUAGGGAAGAACAAGUACCGUUCGAAUAGGGCGGUACCUUGACGGUACCUAACCAGAAAGCCACGGCUAACUACGUGCCAGCAGCCGCGGUAAUACGUAGGUGGCAAGCGUUGUCCGGAAUUAUUGGGCGUAAAGCGCGCGCAGGCGGUUUCUUAAGUCUGAUGUGAAAGCCCCCGGCUCAACCGGGGAGGGUCAUUGGAAACUGGGGAACUUGAGUGCAGAAGAGGAGAGUGGAAUUCCACGUGUAGCGGUGAAAUGCGUAGAGAUGUGGAGGAACACCAGUGGCGAAGGCGACUCUCUGGUCUGUAACUGACGCUGAGGCGCGAAAGCGUGGGGAGCGAACAGGAUUAGAUACCCUGGUAGUCCACGCCGUAAACGAUGAGUGCUAAGUGGUUAGAGGGUUUCCGCCCUUUAGUGCUGCAGCAAACGCAUUAAGCACUCCGCCUGGGGGAGUACGGUCGCAAGACUGAAACUCAAAGGAAAUUGACGGGGGCCCGCACAAGC